GUUUGAUCUGACUGUGAGGCUGAAGAGCCACAUGGUGGUUUGUGCUGGGACAGCACCAUGCCUUUCACAUCUUAUCUGUAAGCUUCUGUGUUGUGUCCUGUCAGAGUAGGAAUCCUGUAGUUAGUGUUUUCUUGGGCAUCUGGUGAAAUACAGCUGCAGGUUUUGGGAGUCUGGAGCUGUUAUUUAGCUUUUAUCACAAGCUGUCACUUCAGUUUCAAAGUUGACUAGUGGAGAAAAGUCAUGCAGAGCUUCAAGUUUACGAAGUCCUGCAUAACUGCUCCUUGUUUUUAUGGCAAGCCUUUUUAUAGGCCUCCCCAUGGUGAUAGAGGGACUUCUGUGCACACAGGUUUGUCAGCUGCACAACCCAGCCCUCCACAGUUGGAGCAUCAGUGCUCAACAAAGUAUAAAACAUUGCAGGGGGCUCUGUGAUUCACCAUGAGAAGCAGAAUUUUUCAAGCAUGCAACUACAGUUCAUGUUAGGUGAAGAGAAAUCAUUCUUGAUUAAACCUUGAAUUGCCUAGGGCUGUAAAACAGUAUUUGAGGUUCCAACACUGUCCUGUCUGAGGUACAGUUUAUACUGACGUGGAUGUUGAGUUUAUUUCUAUAGAUUCUAACAGCAAUUUAUAUGUUUUCUUUUUUUUUAUUAUUAUUUUUAAUCCUAGAAUACUACAUGAACUCAGGCUCCACAGGAACUUGCAAAAUGAGCCCCACCAUAAGAAGGUAUCUCUCAGUUGACAUUGUACAAGUUGAUCUGUAUUGCACCAGCUGUUUUCCCUCAGCUCCCAAGAUGAUCGAACUGUAGCAUGAGGUUAUGUGGAAUCUCCCAGGCCACACCAGCUCAUGCGCUUUGCUGGGGACAAAGCCUGCCAUUUUCUUUGCAGAUUGAAGAAAUCUCCAGCACUGGUGUCCUUGAAACAUUUUUCUAUUGGGCUGAUUCUGAACAAGUAGCUCCUAUAGCCACAGACAUCCUUGUGCUCAAAGGUGAGGAUUGUUUCUGUUGCUGCCCAAGCCAGGAAGCAAAACUUCAUAGUUGCAGUUGUCUUGGCCAAUGCUCCCCACCACCACCACCAGUGGAGGACAAGAACCACUCCCAGUGCUGGUCCACAGCACCAGCUGAUUUGUUUCUGACCUGUUUUCACGUUAUCCUCAAGAGGAGUUGCAGAGAUGUCCAUUACAACAUUAACAUGCAGGCUGCAGUAAUCUGCAGCUGGCUGAAGGAGUCCCAGAUAGCCUGACCCUGAACCACAGCUCAGAUGAAGAAGACAACUAGGAGAUGUAUUAUGGUGUCCUGCAAUGUGAUGUCAGUACUGACAUGUGGUUCACAGGCACAGAGAAGAUCUACAGCUAUAAAUACCCUGUCAUAGCCCUGCUCCCAGGGAGGAAAUACAUCUUCUGAGUCACUGUCUGCAAUGACAGUGGGGACACUGACCCUCUGGAUUCACAGGAGCAGUGGAACAUCUCCAGACACAGAGGUAAGCACAAGACUCAGGGUUAAGCUCAGGCUCCCUGUGUGGCCUUGGGUGUGUCACUACCUGCUCUGUACCUCAGGUGCUCACCUGGGGAUUAGACACAAGAAUACCUCCUCUUCUAUCCCUUCCAUUUGUUGGCAAUCUCUUCAGGACCAGCCUUCCUUUUACUAGAUGUGUAUGUAGCCCAUUACAUAGCACUUUAUACAGAUGCUGCUUAAAUUAAAAUUCAGGACAUCUGUGUGCUCAGAGGGUGAUAUUAUCAUGUCUUGACAUAAGAGAGGACUGGUGUUACAAGUCAAUUUUCUUGUAGCACAUUUUCAGUCUGACUGGGAUCUGUUCCCUAAAUGAGAAGCGAAGAAAUCUGUGACACGUAGGAGACUGUGAAGUCUUUCUGGACCAGAGAGAAAGUCCCUGAGAGCACAUUAAAUUAAACAUUUAGAAGUCAUCCUAUCAGGUAAAUGCCACCUUCUUUGUUCAGUUGCUCCCUACACAUGCCUAAUGAUAACAUGGAUGUUUAAUCAGCAGUACUCCCAAACAUAACUGAACAUGGCCCAGCUCAUCAAGGCAAAAUGGGAAGUGAUCCUUCUGCCCAGUCUGGGGAAUUGCAGAAUGCAGGGACUCUAAAUGGUGAGAUCAAAGACUUUUUUUUGUUUGUUUGGCCUGUGCCUGGUGUAAUAAACAAUAUCGUAAUAUAAAAAAUUAUAAAUUA
This is a long non-coding RNA of Lonchura striata (white-rumped munia), 2178 nucleotides long. NCBI's taxonomy places the organism in Eukaryota, Metazoa, Chordata, Aves, Passeriformes, Estrildidae. The record is from Ensembl.